Haliotis rubra (blacklip abalone) is the source of this 133-nucleotide long non-coding RNA. RefSeq lists it as uncharacterized. The record is from RefSeq and is a predicted model, not a curated record. Lineage: Eukaryota; Metazoa; Mollusca; Gastropoda; Lepetellida; Haliotidae. The transcript is spliced from 5 exons.
AGUGAUACUCUGAACCACCAUUUUAUGGUGUGUGCAGUGUAGUAGGACGUGUUCUGGCGUUUCUGUUUCGUUGCAGUGUGUGCAUUUGUCUGUUUGGUGUUUUAGUUUAGAAUUUGAAUUUUGGUAUUUGCUU